UACGAAGGGGGCUAGCGUUGCUCGGAAUGACUGGGCGUAAAGGGCGCGUAGGCGGUUUGUACAGUCAGGCGUGAAAGUCCUGGGCUCAACCUGGGGGCUGCUUUUGAUACGUAUGAGCUUGAGUUCGGAAGAGGGUCGUGGAAUUCCCAGUGUAGAGGUGAAAUUCGUAGAUAUUGGGAAGAACACCGGUGGCGAAGGCGGCGACCUGGUCCGAUACUGACGCUGAGGCGCGAAAGCGUGGGGAGCAAACAGG
Molecule: ribosomal RNA, 253 nt
Filed under: uncultured bacterium
Lineage: Bacteria
Description: partial 16S ribosomal RNA
Rfam family: Bacterial small subunit ribosomal RNA
Source: RNAcentral